RNAcentral lists this small nuclear RNA (19 nucleotides) under Arabidopsis thaliana (thale cress). RNAcentral's name for it is "snRNA_16873". Lineage: Eukaryota; Viridiplantae; Streptophyta; Magnoliopsida; Brassicales; Brassicaceae. The record is from RNAcentral.
UUCCCUCAGGAUAGCUGGA